Molecule: transfer-messenger RNA, 353 nt
Filed under: Clostridiaceae
Lineage: Bacteria; Bacillati; Bacillota; Clostridia; Eubacteriales
Also listed under: 2 other names
Description: Clostridium_AD tagluense Standard tmRNA
Rfam family: transfer-messenger RNA
About the family: Bacterial tmRNA, also known as 10Sa RNA or SsrA, is named for its dual tRNA and mRNA-like properties. Its role is to liberate the mRNA from a stalled ribosome.
Source: RNAcentral
GGGGGCGUACUUGGUUUCGACGGGGGUACGUUGCAUCGAGGAAGCGAGCCGAGGGAACCUAUGGACCCGCGUAAAAAACUAUAGGGACAAUUUAAACGCAAACGAUAAUUUACAACUAGCAGCUUAGUUCUGCUACGUCUUACCUUUGAUUACCGCGACUUAGGAUAGGGCGCCGACAGCGGUGAACCGAGUCUGGGAAAGCUUUGACCCAGAAACGGAAAAUAUGAAGCUACCGAAACAUAAACCCGGCCAGUAGGGGUUAAGUAGAGGGAAUUUUAAAGUAUUGGCUACGCUCGUAGAUGCCUAGGUGUUAUGGCUUUCGGACAGGGGUUCGACACCCCUCGCCUCCACCA